Molecule: long non-coding RNA, 599 nt
Filed under: Nicotiana benthamiana
Lineage: Eukaryota; Viridiplantae; Streptophyta; Magnoliopsida; Solanales; Solanaceae
Description: long non-coding RNA (NBEN_LNC037580)
Source: RNAcentral
GGAUUAAAAAAAAAUGUUAAGACUUCAGACAAUUUAAUAGGAUUACUGAUUUUAUUUCAAUGUUAUCUUAUUGUUCUUGUUAUUGCAAAUCUAAAAGACAUCAUUUUCAACAAAAUUACAAAACCAAACAAUAGAACUAUAGAGAUUUCAACUCUAAAAAGUACUAUAAUUAUUUCACCCUCUAAUUCUCAAUUUUGAGCUCACACUAGGAAAUUAAACGGAAAUAAUCAGCACAAAUAGUCGGUUUCAGAUUAAGUUUAAGGAAUCAAAUCGAUAAAGAUGUAUAUCAGACUUGCCAUUAACGGAUUGCAAAUUGCAAACAUGAAAAUGAGGUUAGAUGAAUAAUAGGUAGAGAACUAACAGGUAUCCUUCUUCGCGGACCUCCCUGAGGAAAUUUCCGAUGCCCUUUUCUCUGAUUGACUUGAAAAUGCCCCACAACAACAAGAAUAUGGAAUAAUAGGUAGAGAACUAACAGGUAUCCUUCUUCGCGGACCUCCCUGAGGAAAUUUCCGAUGCCCUUUUCUCUGAUUGACUUGAAAAUGCCCCUCACUACCGACGCCAUUCUCUUCUGCUUCGUUCUCUGAAUUCUGAAACUCCAC